GGUGAGUAACACGUGGAUAACCUACCUAUAAGACUGGGAUAACUUCGGGAAACCGGAGCUAAUACCGGAUAAUAUUUUGAACCGCAUGGUUCAAAAGUGAAAGACGGUCUUGCUGUCACUUAUAGAUGGAUCCGCGCUGCAUUAGCUAGUUGGUAAUGUAACGGCUUACCAAGGCAACGAUGCGUAGCCGACCUGAGAGGGUGAUCGGCCACACUGGAACUGAGACACGGUCCAG
This 235-nucleotide ribosomal RNA is filed under the name uncultured Staphylococcus sp. RNAcentral describes it as "partial 16S ribosomal RNA". It matches the Rfam family "Bacterial small subunit ribosomal RNA", at positions 105 to 334 of the family's 1533-position model. The record is from RNAcentral. Lineage: Bacteria; Bacillati; Bacillota; Bacilli; Caryophanales; Staphylococcaceae.